CAGGUUACAAAUCUGGCUGUCGUGAUGCCUAAAAAGCAUUGCAUAGCAAGGGCCGGGCAAGACCGGUGCCAGCCGCCGCGGUAACACCGGCGGCUCGAGUGGUAACCGUUAUUAUUGGGUCUAAAGGGUCUGUAGCCGGCCGGAUAAGUCUCUUGAGAAAUCCAGCAGCUCAACUGUUGGGCUUUCAGGAGAUACUGUCUGGCUCGAGGCCGGGAGAGGUGAGAGGUACUUCAGGGGUAGGGGUGAAAUCUUGUAAUCCUUGAAGGACCACCAGUGGCGAAGGCGUCUCACCAGAACGGACCUGACGGCAAGGGACGAAAGCUAGGGGCACGAACCGGAUUAGAUACCCGGGUAGUCCUAGCCGUAAACGAUACUCGCUAGGUGUCGGCCACGGUGCGACCGUUGUCGGUGCCGUAGGGAAGCCGUGAAGCGAGCCACCUGGGAAGUACGGCCGCAAGGCUGAAACUUAAAGGAAUUGGCGGGGGAGCACCACAACGGGUGGAGCUUGCGG
Molecule: ribosomal RNA, 511 nt
Filed under: uncultured Methanosaeta sp.
Lineage: Archaea; Methanobacteriati; Methanobacteriota; Methanomicrobia; Methanotrichales; Methanotrichaceae
Description: bacterial SSU rRNA
Rfam family: Archaeal small subunit ribosomal RNA
Source: RNAcentral